RNAcentral lists this ribosomal RNA (253 nucleotides) under Faecalibacterium prausnitzii. Its description in RNAcentral is "partial 16S ribosomal RNA". It matches the Rfam family "Bacterial small subunit ribosomal RNA", at positions 524 to 776 of the family's 1533-position model. Lineage: Bacteria; Bacillati; Bacillota; Clostridia; Eubacteriales; Oscillospiraceae. The record is from RNAcentral.
AACGUAGGUCACAAGCGUUGUCCGGAAUUACUGGGUGUAAAGGGAGCGCAGGCGGGCGAUCAAGUUGGAAGUGAAAUCCAUGGGCUCAACCCAUGAACUGCUUUCAAAACUGGUCGUCUUGAGUAGUGCAGAGGUAGGCAGAAUUCCCGGUGUAGCGGUGGAAUGCGUAGAUAUCGGGAGGAACACCAGUGGCGAAGGCGGCCUACUGGGCACCAACUGACGCUGAGGCUCGAAAGUGUGGGUAGCAAACAGG